AUUGAACGCUGGCGGCAUGCCUUACACAUGCAAGUCGAACGGCAGCAUGAUCUAGCUUGCUAGAUUGAUGGCGAGUGGCGAACGGGUGAGUAAUACAUCGGAACGUGCCCUGUAGUGGGGGAUAACUAGUCGAAAGAUUAGCUAAUACCGCAUACGACCUGAGGGUGAAAGUGGGGGACCGCAAGGCCUCAUGCUAUAGGAGCGGCCGAUGUCUGAUUAGCUAGUUGGUGAGGUAAAGGCUCACCAAGGCGACGAUCAGUAGCUGGUCUGAGAGGACGAUCAGCCACACUGGGACUGAGACACGGCCCAGACCCCUACGGGAGGCAGCAGUGGGGAAUUUUGGACAAUGGGCGAAAGCCUGAUCUAGCAAUGCCGCGUGUGUGAAGAAGGCCUUCGGGUUGUAAAGCACUUUUGUCCGGAAAGAAAUGGCUCUGGUUAAUACCUGGGGUCGAUGACGGUACCGGAAGAAUAAGAACCGGCUAACUACGUG
RNAcentral lists this ribosomal RNA (490 nucleotides) under uncultured bacterium. Its description in RNAcentral is "partial 16S ribosomal RNA". It matches the Rfam family "Bacterial small subunit ribosomal RNA", at positions 30 to 507 of the family's 1533-position model. The record is from RNAcentral.